UUCUUUAAGCUUUAAUUUAAAGUAAAACCUGCUCCAUGUUAAUAUAAAUAGCCGCAGUUUCUGUGCUAAGGUAGCGUAAUCAUUAGUCUUCUAAUUUAAGAAUAGAAUGAAAGGUUAAACGUAAUUUUUUCUGUCUCUUAAACCUAACAAUAAUUUUAUACACUAGUUAAAAAUCCAGUUUACAAAAAUAGGACGACAAGACCCUACUAAACUUAUAAUAUUUUAUUGGGGCGAUAAACAAAAAAAACCUUAAAUUCAAUCCAAACCAAUCUAUUUUUAAUAAUAAAGAUAUAGUUACUAUAGGGAUAACAGCGCUACUCCUUCUUAAAGUUCAAAUUGAAAAAGGAAUCUACGACCUCGAUGUUGAAUUAAUAAAUUCUUCUAAAAGCAAAAUUUUAGAUAGAUAGUCUGUUCGACUUUUAAAAAAUU
This 429-nucleotide ribosomal RNA is filed under the name Tupigea sp. Br10-32. RNAcentral describes it as "partial 16S ribosomal RNA". It matches the Rfam family "Bacterial large subunit ribosomal RNA", at positions 1831 to 2597 of the family's 2925-position model. The record is from RNAcentral. Lineage: Eukaryota; Metazoa; Arthropoda; Arachnida; Araneae; Pholcidae.